RNAcentral lists this unclassified non-coding RNA (253 nucleotides) under uncultured Frankiales bacterium. Its description in RNAcentral is "contains 16S-23S intergenic spacer region". It matches the Rfam family "Bacterial small subunit ribosomal RNA", at positions 524 to 776 of the family's 1533-position model. Lineage: Bacteria; Bacillati; Actinomycetota; Actinomycetes; Frankiales. The record is from RNAcentral.
UACGUAGGGCGCAAGCGUUGUCCGGAAUUAUUGGGCGUAAAGAGCUCGUAGGCGGCCUGUUGCGUCUGCUGUGAAAUCCCGGGGCUUAACCCCGGGCGUGCAGUGGAUACGGGCAGGCUGGAGGCAGGCAGGGGAGAAUGGAAUUCCCGGUGUAGCGGUGAAAUGCGCAGAUAUCGGGAGGAACACCGGUGGCGAAGGCGGUUCUCUGGGUCAUUACUGACGCUGAGGAGCGAAAGCGUGGGGAGCGGACAGG